This 1187-nucleotide ribosomal RNA is filed under the name Staphylococcus aureus VET0439R. RNAcentral describes it as "bacterial SSU rRNA". It matches the Rfam family "Bacterial small subunit ribosomal RNA", at positions 8 to 1176 of the family's 1533-position model. The record is from RNAcentral. Lineage: Bacteria; Bacillati; Bacillota; Bacilli; Caryophanales; Staphylococcaceae.
AGAGUUUGAUCCUGGCUCAGGAUGAACGCUGGCGGCGUGCCUAAUACAUGCAAGUCGAGCGAACGGACGAGAAGCUUGCUUCUCUGAUGUUAGCGGCGGACGGGUGAGUAACACGUGGAUAACCUACCUAUAAGACUGGGAUAACUUCGGGAAACCGGAGCUAAUACCGGAUAAUAUUUUGAACCGCAUGGUUCAAAAGUGAAAGACGGUCUUGCUGUCACUUAUAGAUGGAUCCGCGCUGCAUUAGCUAGUUGGUAAGGUAACGGCUUACCAAGGCAACGAUGCAUAGCCGACCUGAGAGGGUGAUCGGCCACACUGGAACUGAGACACGGUCCAGACUCCUACGGGAGGCAGCAGUAGGGAAUCUUCCGCAAUGGGCGAAAGCCUGACGGAGCAACGCCGCGUGAGUGAUGAAGGUCUUCGGAUCGUAAAACUCUGUUAUUAGGGAAGAACAUAUGUGUAAGUAACUGUGCACAUCUUGACGGUACCUAAUCAGAAAGCCACGGCUAACUACGUGCCAGCAGCCGCGGUAAUACGUAGGUGGCAAGCGUUAUCCGGAAUUAUUGGGCGUAAAGCGCGCGUAGGCGGUUUUUUAAGUCUGAUGUGAAAGCCCACGGCUCAACCGUGGAGGGUCAUUGGAAACUGGAAAACUUGAGUGCAGAAGAGGAAAGUGGAAUUCCAUGUGUAGCGGUGAAAUGCGCAGAGAUAUGGAGGAACACCAGUGGCGAAGGCGACUUUCUGGUCUGUAACUGACGCUGAUGUGCGAAAGCGUGGGGAUCAAACAGGAUUAGAUACCCUGGUAGUCCACGCCGUAAACGAUGAGUGCUAAGUGUUAGGGGGUUUCCGCCCCUUAGUGCUGCAGCUAACGCAUUAAGCACUCCGCCUGGGGAGUACGACCGCAAGGUUGAAACUCAAAGGAAUUGACGGGGACCCGCACAAGCGGUGGAGCAUGUGGUUUAAUUCGAAGCAACGCGAAGAACCUUACCAAAUCUUGACAUCCUUUGACAACUCUAGAGAUAGAGCCUUCCCCUUCGGGGGACAAAGUGACAGGUGGUGCAUGGUUGUCGUCAGCUCGUGUCGUGAGAUGUUGGGUUAAGUCCCGCAACGAGCGCAACCCUUAAGCUUAGUUGCCAUCAUUAAGUUGGGCACUCUAAGUUGACUGCCGGUGACAAACCGGAGGAAGGUGG